UUGGUGUGUUCAGAGCAGGUAUCUUACAGACCAUGGGUUCCUGUUUAUACCACACCAUAAAGUAACUUUGUCAAUGGGUUGUUAUAAAUGAGUAUAGCUUUUCUCAUUAUGUUUACCCAUGUGAUAAAACAU
This is a small nucleolar RNA of Erpetoichthys calabaricus (reedfish), 132 nucleotides long. Lineage: Eukaryota; Metazoa; Chordata; Cladistia; Polypteriformes; Polypteridae. The record is from Ensembl.